This 491-nucleotide ribosomal RNA is filed under the name uncultured bacterium. Its description in RNAcentral is "partial 16S ribosomal RNA". It matches the Rfam family "Bacterial small subunit ribosomal RNA", at positions 29 to 507 of the family's 1533-position model. The record is from RNAcentral.
GUGAACGCUGGCGGUAGGCCUAACCCCUGCCAGUCGAACGGCAGCACAGUAAGAGCUUGCUCUUACGGGUGGCGAGUGGCGGACGGGUGAGGAAUACAUCGGAAUCUACUUUUUCGUGGGGGAUAACGUAGGGAAACUUACGCUAAUACCGCAUACGACCUACGGGUGAAAGCAGGGGAUCUUCGGACCUUGCGCGAUUGAAUGAGCCGAUGUCGGAUUAGCUAGUUGGCGGGGUAAAGGCCCACCAAGGCGACGAUCCGUAGCUGGUCUGAGAGGAUGAUCAGCCACACUGGAACUGAGACACGGUCCAGACUCCUACGGGAGGCAGCAGUGGGGAAUAUUGGACAAAGGGCGCAAGCCUGAUCCAGCCAUACCGCGUGGGUGAAGAAGGCCUUCGGGUUGUAAAGCCCUUUUGUUGGGAAAGAAAAGCAGCAGGUUAAUACCCCGCUGUUCUGACGGUACCCAAAGAAUAAGCACCGGCUAACUUCGUG